Molecule: ribosomal RNA, 426 nt
Filed under: uncultured bacterium
Lineage: Bacteria
Description: bacterial SSU rRNA
Rfam family: Bacterial small subunit ribosomal RNA
Source: RNAcentral
UGGGGAAUUGUUCACAAUGGGCGCAAGCCUGAUGACGCAACGCCGCGUGGGGGAUGAAGGUCUUCGGAUCGUAAACCCCUGUCGAAUGGGACGAAAGACUCGCGUCUUAACACUGCGCGAGAUUGACGGUACCGUUAAAGGAAGCCACGGCUAACUCUGUGCCAGCAGCCGCGGUAAUACAGAGGUGGCAAGCGUUGUUCGGAAUUACUGGGCGUAAAGGGCGCGUAGGCGGCCUUUCAAGUCAGACGUGAAAUCCCCCGGCUUAACCUGGGAACCGCGUCUGAUACUGGGAGGCUUGAGUAUGGGAGAGGGAUGUAGAAUUCCAGGUGUAGCGGUGAAAUGCGUAGAUAUCUGGAGGAAUACCGGUGGCGAAGGCGGCAUCCUGGACCAUAACUGACGCUGAGGCGCGAAAGCUAGGGGAGCAAA